GGCCACAGCCAUAUCACCCUGCACCCCAAGACCGGUUACUCAUUGAAGCUAAGCAUGGCUGAUCCUGGUCAAUACCUGGAUGGGUUUCCACAUGGGAACACUAGGUUGCUGUUGGAA
Danio rerio (zebrafish) is the source of this 117-nucleotide ribosomal RNA. Lineage: Eukaryota; Metazoa; Chordata; Actinopteri; Cypriniformes; Danionidae. The record is from Ensembl.